This 253-nucleotide ribosomal RNA is filed under the name uncultured bacterium. RNAcentral describes it as "partial 16S ribosomal RNA". It matches the Rfam family "Bacterial small subunit ribosomal RNA", at positions 524 to 776 of the family's 1533-position model. The record is from RNAcentral.
UACGAAGGGGGCUAGCGUUGCUCGGAAUCACUGGGCGUAAAGCGCACGUAGGCGGAUUGCUAAGUCAGGGGUGAAAUCUUGGAGCUUAACUCCGAAACUGCAUUCGAUACUGCCGUGCUUGAGGACUGGAGAGGAGACUGGAAUUUACGGUGUAGCGGUGAAAUGCGUAGAUAUCGUAAGGAAGACCAGUGGCGAAGGCGGGUCUCUGGACAGUUCCUGACGCUGAGGCACGAAGGCCAGGGGAGCAAACGGG